GUCUGUGGCUAUGCCACCCUAAACAAGCCCGAUGUCUGAUCUUAGAAGCUAAGCAGGGUUGGGCCUGGUUAGUACUUGAAUGGAGACUACCUAGGAAGACCAGAUGCUGUAGGCA
RNAcentral lists this ribosomal RNA (115 nucleotides) under Pteropus alecto (black flying fox). Lineage: Eukaryota; Metazoa; Chordata; Mammalia; Chiroptera; Pteropodidae. The record is from RNAcentral.